This 65-nucleotide transfer RNA is filed under the name Streptococcus pneumoniae. Its description in RNAcentral is "tRNA-Gly". It matches the Rfam family "tRNA", at positions 5 to 66 of the family's 71-position model. From Rfam's summary of the family: Transfer RNA (tRNA) molecules are approximately 80 nucleotides in length. Their secondary structure includes four short double-helical elements and three loops (D, anti-codon, and T loops). RNAcentral also lists the same sequence under 2 other names. The record is from RNAcentral. Lineage: Bacteria; Bacillati; Bacillota; Bacilli; Lactobacillales; Streptococcaceae.
GUGUAGUUUAGUGGUAAAACUACAGCCUUCCAAGCUGUUGUCGCGAGUUCGAUUCUCGUCACCCG